CUGGAAUGACCAGAGUUAAGGUAGUCUCAUUUUCAGACCAAGGCCUGGGACCUUCAGUUUUAAACACAUGUGUCUGUUGAUCUGAAUGAUGGGAGAAUGACCCCAGAGCGAAGACUUUGGCCAUGUUAGAGCACGGGUCAGAUGAGAAAGGCCAGCAAACUGUUCCGUAUGGCCUUCAAGAUCCUGGAGGCAGGAGAACCUCCUACCUUCACUGCUUAACCACAGAAAGAACAGCCAGCCUGUAAGAAAAUGAACCUCAUGCCUUAUCCAGAAAUAGUGAAGGGCUCCACACAGAGCCACGCCCUCAUGUCCAGGCUUGGCCACAGCCCUAGGCAAUGAAAAGCAGUAUCUGCCACUUUGGGGGAGAAGAUCAGGUCAAAAGCUCACCAAACACGAAGUUCAGCUAUAAUUCACCUCAGCGUUCGCAUGUCUGUGCUGUCAGCCCAGGGACAUAAGAAUACUAUCUCGGAUGCAUGUCUAUCAAAUACCUGGAGGCCAUGAAUGACAAUAGCAACUGAGAAGAGGAAGCAACUUGGCAUGAGGGACUGAGAGUUAUGUGAUCUCUGUG
Molecule: long non-coding RNA, 568 nt
Organism: Eptesicus fuscus (big brown bat)
Lineage: Eukaryota; Metazoa; Chordata; Mammalia; Chiroptera; Vespertilionidae
Exons: 6
Source: RefSeq, a predicted model, not a curated record